This 278-nucleotide ribosomal RNA is filed under the name uncultured prokaryote. RNAcentral's name for it is "partial 16S ribosomal RNA". It matches the Rfam family "Bacterial small subunit ribosomal RNA", at positions 524 to 801 of the family's 1533-position model. The record is from RNAcentral.
CACGUAGGAGGCAAACGUUAUCCGGAUUUACUGGGCGUAAAGCGCGUGUAGGUGGUUCUGUAAGUAGGGCGUGAAAGCUCCCGGCUCAACUGGGAGAGGCCGUUCUAAACUGCAUAGCUGGAGUACUGGAGAGGGAAGUGGAAUUCCCGGUGUAGCGGUGAAAUGCGUAGAUAUCGGGAGGGACACCGGUGGCGAAGGCGGCUUUCUGGCCAGUUACUGACGCUCAUGCGCGAAAGCUGGGGUAGCGAACAGGAUUAGAUACCCGCGUAGUCCCUGAG